This 68-nucleotide transfer RNA is filed under the name Rana amurensis. Its description in RNAcentral is "tRNA-Gly". It matches the Rfam family "tRNA". From Rfam's summary of the family: Transfer RNA (tRNA) molecules are approximately 80 nucleotides in length. Their secondary structure includes four short double-helical elements and three loops (D, anti-codon, and T loops). Further hydrogen bonds mediate the characteristic L-shaped molecular structure. tRNAs have two regions of fundamental functional importance: the anti-codon, which is responsible for specific mRNA codon recognition, and the 3' end, to which the tRNAs corresponding amino acid is attached (by aminoacyl-tRNA synthetases). tRNAs cope with the degeneracy of the genetic code in two manners: having more than one tRNA (with a specific anti-codon) for a particular amino acid; and 'wobble' base-pairing, i.e. permitting non-standard base-pairing at the 3rd anti-codon position. Lineage: Eukaryota; Metazoa; Chordata; Amphibia; Anura; Ranidae. The record is from RNAcentral.
AUUUUCUUAGUACAGAAGUAUAGGUGACUUCCAAUCAUCUGACCUUGGUUAAACCCCAAGAGAAAAUA